Molecule: long non-coding RNA, 453 nt
Organism: Panthera uncia (snow leopard)
Lineage: Eukaryota; Metazoa; Chordata; Mammalia; Carnivora; Felidae
Exons: 3
Source: RefSeq, a predicted model, not a curated record
GUUACCAGGCGACGGCGUGGCGCCAGGCAAGCCGGGACUUGUAGUCCGCCUGGAAGAGGCGGGCACUUGAGGCACGGCAGUCCCGCGAUCCGUGCGCUUUUGCUACGUCUGAGGAACCUUGCCGGGAGAUUGGUUCUUGCAGCGUGGUCCCAAAUCUGACCUCCCUGAGCUGGCAACUUGCAAGAGACUCUUCAGAGAUUUCAGGUAUCCCCCAAGAUACAGAAGCCAAGUUAUGGAGUCCACAACGAAUAGUGAGAAAUCCAGAAAUAGACUAUUGGUAUAUUCACUCUGGGCCAUUCUUGAUGCUCAGUACCACUCCAGAUCUCCAGCUACUCAAUAUAAAGGUAAUGAUAAUCCUUCAAGUAUAUACAAAAUUUUAUGUUUUCAUAGGCUUUAAAAUAAUCCAUAGUGUUGGGGCACCUGGGUGGCUCAGUUGGUUAAGCAUCCGACUCU